Maylandia zebra (zebra mbuna) is the source of this 146-nucleotide non-coding RNA. The record is from RefSeq and is a predicted model, not a curated record. Lineage: Eukaryota; Metazoa; Chordata; Actinopteri; Cichliformes; Cichlidae.
UGUGUCAGCAAGUACGACCUGCUGGUCUGGUUUGAGAUCAGCGAGCUGGAGCCCACUGGAGAGUACAUCCCAGCCAUCGUGGAUCACAGUGGAGGCCUGCCCUGUCAUGGUACCUACCUGCUGCACCAGGGGAUCCAGCGGAGGAU